AUGGCGCCUCGCGCGUCGGAUUCUAGGGGCUCUUCCAUCGCAGCCAUGGAGGCCGGCUCCGGUGCCCACAUCAAGCUCCCCGGCAGGGGCCAGCUCCUCCCCGGCACCGGCCGUCGCGUCGUCUUCCUCUCUGGCCCCUUCCGCGCCGUCAUGGACGCCACCGAGCUAGCCCUCGGCCUCGUCUCCGGGUGUAGGCUGAAGCAGCAAGUCUACUCUAGUUGCUUAUUGCUUAGUGGCUUCUUGGAUAAGAUCAAGCACUCAUUGGGGCCUCUACCACAAAUUCACCUGCCCAACUCCGCAAGGAAGGAGCAGCGGCGGGGCUGGAGAAGCACCGGCGACCCUGGGUCGGGAAGGAGCAGCGACGGGGGAGGAGAAGCAUCAGCGACCCUGGGCGGAGGAUCUGCUCGAGUUGGCUGA
RNAcentral lists this ribosomal RNA (417 nucleotides) under Triticum aestivum (bread wheat). RNAcentral describes it as "partial small subunit ribosomal RNA". Lineage: Eukaryota; Viridiplantae; Streptophyta; Magnoliopsida; Poales; Poaceae. The record is from RNAcentral.